This is a non-coding RNA of Cinara cedri, 234 nucleotides long. The record is from the annotation of a GenBank genome assembly. NCBI's taxonomy places the organism in Eukaryota, Metazoa, Arthropoda, Insecta, Hemiptera, Aphididae.
AAAAACCAUUAAAUAUUCACGAUAUUCACUUUAAUCAUCAAAUCAUGCAGCCGACCAUAAUAUAAUCUAAUUACACCAUCUGUGAGCAGCAGUGUUCUGUCACUAGAGUAGAUAUUUUCCUCGCCCUAAUUUUUAUGUCAUAGGAAAUAUUGUUUUUAAAAAUGAAUAUAUAAAUCAAUACUGCGAUAAAAUUAUAACACACUAGUUCUAAUAAAAUUACAGAAUUUCCACAUA